GGUUGCGAUCAUACCAGCACUAAUGCACCGGAUCCCAUCAGAACUCCGCAGUGCUUGGGCGAGAGUAGUACUAGGAUGGGUGACCCCCUGGGAAGUCCUCGUGUUGCAACAC
This 112-nucleotide ribosomal RNA is filed under the name Helianthus annuus (common sunflower). The record is from RNAcentral. Lineage: Eukaryota; Viridiplantae; Streptophyta; Magnoliopsida; Asterales; Asteraceae.